GCCAUACCUCAGUAGUAGAGCAUCUGCUUUACAUGCAGAAGAUCCUGGGUUAAUUCCCCAGCAUCUACA
Podarcis lilfordi (Lilford's wall lizard) is the source of this 69-nucleotide non-coding RNA. Lineage: Eukaryota; Metazoa; Chordata; Lepidosauria; Squamata; Lacertidae. The record is from the annotation of a GenBank genome assembly.